This 669-nucleotide long non-coding RNA is filed under the name Mytilus galloprovincialis (Mediterranean mussel). Lineage: Eukaryota; Metazoa; Mollusca; Bivalvia; Mytilida; Mytilidae. The record is from RNAcentral.
AUUCACUUUACGUAUGAAUUACACUGACACAAUACCGAGUUUAGCUCAAUGUGAACACGUCCUAAUACUGUGAAACAAAAUGUAUAAUGUCAAAUGGCAUGAGAAAAUAGAUCUACUACAUGUAUUCAAGUACUGUUCCACAAUAAAUAAACAUUACCAAACCACUCACAUAUUAUAUGUUAUAAUAUUUUUUUUUCUGCAAAAAUGGCAGUUUCGUUAAAUAAGUAGACCAAAAUAAGACAACAUUACUUAAAACAAGAGUAUGUGUAAUGGAUAAAUCUGAGCUUCAGGUAACGGAAGAUAGCAUUUACAAUAAACACUAAGCGCUGCUCACUAUGAUACCAUCCUGAAGGAUCGUGGUUGAUUUUGGAAAAAGACAACGAACAUGCCAUUUUUAUUGUUGAUUAGAUAUCUACAUUAUGGUCUGAAGAACACUAGUUCCCAAAAGACAAAUGACAGCGUCAUCCACGUUUAUAUUAUAGGAUUGUGAUGAGUAUAGUCAAACUAUAGUUAUAAUAGAAAAAUUAAGGUGAGCAAUAAACGUAUUCAAUCAGUAAUUGUAUGUUACCCAGUGUACAAUAAAAAGACAAUAAAAAAAUUCAGUACACGUCAGGAUGUUAGAAGUAUAGAUUUCAAAUACAAUGUAUCAAUGUCUGAUCAUUCUUUUAC